This 1218-nucleotide long non-coding RNA is filed under the name Homo sapiens (human). RNAcentral's name for it is "HSALNT0341958". Lineage: Eukaryota; Metazoa; Chordata; Mammalia; Primates; Hominidae. The record is from RNAcentral.
GUUACAGGUGUGAGCCACUGCACCCAGCCUAAAUGAGUGAGUCUUUAACCUUCCCUCUGGUUGACUUGGGUAGAACUCCAAGGAAUAUGAAAGUCAAUUCUUCUAAUAGAUGGUAAAUGAAGCCCUUUGGAUUUGAAUAAAGAGAAUGGUUCUCUCUCUCUUUCUCUUGACUUCACUCUCUCUUGCUCUCUCCUGCUCUCUCUCUCUCUCUCAUCCUCCCAGGAAGAGACAGAUUAGACUUAUUGGGAGGCUGGUAAGUUAUGCUUUAAUAUGUUAAGCUAGGUGGAAACACCAUUACUAGAAAAUAAUUUAGACCUUGGGCACCUUGGACUCAACAUGUGUUGUACUGAUGUUUUCCAGUGCCUUGGUGAUUCAUACAACUUUCUGGGAUCUUUUGAUUAACAGAGAAAAAGUCAUAAGAUCAGCAAGAAGAGAAACUGUAGAUUUGCCUCAACUCAACAUGUUAAGUAAUCGCCUGACAUCUACAUAAGACCACCUCUUGGCACCUGGCUACACAAGCUGAAAUGGUAAAACUCCUUGAGAAACCACACAAGGAUGGAAUACUUGCUUAGAGACAUGAGAGUAGCCUAGAAUCUAAGAAUCUGUACUUCCUUCUACAGUUGUCUUUGGAAAAAGAAUAGACAUUCAUGGCAGACCAAAGAUCACUCUCUGAAGGUGUUAUGUGAGAAAUCCACACAGGAGAAACCCAAGAAAACCACGCAGGUAAAUGCUAGCCUGGAAAGACAGAGGGAAAACAUGCCAAGUGGAGCCCACCACAAGGACAGCAGUCAGAGCCCAAGAGCCCAGCUUUAAAAGGCAUGUAUUCACUGAUGUGCUUUAAAAUCUGUAAUAAACUGCAGUAUACUCUGGUAGUGAGGAAGAGUUGAGGCACCUGGAGAACUGGAAGACUAUUUGAAGAAGAUGAUGAUACCUACUGAUCACAUGAGUCAAGACUUUGGAGUCUUGUCUGCGGAUUACAUGAGUGGCCUCCAAUGGUGAAGAUUUGAAUUCAAGGUUGCCAAGCAACAAUUUCAGAAGGGGCCUCCUUGCCUUUAGAAAAUAAAUGGGAAACUGGCUCAAGCUGCCUUUGUAUCUAUCUGUCUUGGGUAGCCUCAGCAGUAUGCAUUAGCUUGGGGGAGGAGUAAGAAAAUAGGAGAUAGUUUUAUUCCUAUUUGAAUUAACCCAUUUAUGCCAGAGGUCUCAAAUUUUUUUUGUGUG